RNAcentral lists this ribosomal RNA (305 nucleotides) under uncultured bacterium. RNAcentral's name for it is "bacterial SSU rRNA". It matches the Rfam family "Bacterial small subunit ribosomal RNA", at positions 338 to 660 of the family's 1533-position model. The record is from RNAcentral.
CCUACGGGGCGCAGCAGUGGGGAAUAUUGCACAAUGGGGGAAACCCUGAUGCAGCAACGCCGCGUGAGUGAAGAAGUAUUUCGGUAUGUAAAGCUCUAUCAGCAGGGAAGAGAAUGACGGUACCUGACUAAGAAGCCCCGGCUAACUACGUGCCAGCAGCCGCGGUAAUACGUAGGGGGCGAGCGUUAUCCGGAUUUACUGGGUGUAAAGGGAGCGUAGACGGUUCUGCAAGUCUGGAGUGAAAGCCCGGGGCCCAACCCCGGAACUGCUCUGGAAACUGUGCGGCUAGAGUACUGGAGGGGCAG